AGAUUGCCUCAGUACGGCGAGUGAAGCGGCAACAGCUCAAAUUUGAAAUCUGGCCGCAAGGUCCGAGUUGUAAUUUGCAGAGGAUGCUUUUGGCGAGGUGCCUUCCGAGUUCCCUGGAACGGGACGCCAUAGAGGGUGAGAGCCCCGUACGGUUGGACCACCGAGCCUCUGUAAAGCUCCUUCGACGAGUCGAGUAGUUUGGGAAUGCUGCUCUAAAUGGGAGGUGUACGUCUUCUAAAGCUAAAUACCGGCCAGAGACCGAUAGCGCACAAGUAGAGUGAUCGAAAGAUGAAAAGCACUUUGAAAAGAGGGUUAAAAAGUACGUGAAAUUGUUGAAAGGGAAGCGUUUAUGACCAGACUUGGGCUUGGUUGAACAUCCGGCGUUCUCGCCGGUGCACUCUGCCAGUCCAGGCCAGCAUCAGUUUGUCCCGGGGGAUAAAGGCGGUGGGAAUGUGGCUCCCCCGGGAGUGUUAUAGCCCGCCGUGCAAUGCCCUGGGACGGACUGAGGAACGCGCUUCGGCACGGAUGCUGGCGUAAUGGUCAUCAACGACCCGUCUUGAACCACGGACCA
RNAcentral lists this ribosomal RNA (571 nucleotides) under Sarocladium oryzae. Its description in RNAcentral is "partial 28S ribosomal RNA". It matches the Rfam family "Eukaryotic large subunit ribosomal RNA", at positions 72 to 668 of the family's 3401-position model. The record is from RNAcentral. Lineage: Eukaryota; Fungi; Ascomycota; Sordariomycetes; Hypocreales; Sarocladiaceae.